Molecule: ribosomal RNA, 84 nt
Filed under: Tropilaelaps mercedesae
Lineage: Eukaryota; Metazoa; Arthropoda; Arachnida; Mesostigmata; Laelapidae
Source: RNAcentral
GCUAUCGGCCAUACCACGUUGAGUACGCCGGUUCUCGUCCGAUCUCCGAAGCUAAACAACGUUGGGCCCGGGUAGUACUUANNN